CCUGGCUCAGAUUGAACGCUGGCGGCAUGCCUUACACAUGCAAGUCGAACGGCAGCGGACCUUCGGGUGCCGGCGAGUGGCGAACGGGUGAGUAAUAUAUCGGAACGUACCUUUCAGUGGGGGAUAACGUAGCGAAAGUUACGCUAAUACCGCAUAUUCUGUGAGCAGGAAAGCAGGGGAUCGCAAGACCUUGCGCUGAUUGAGCGGCCGAUAUCAGAUUAGCUAGUUGGUGAGGUAAAGGCUCCCCAAGGCGACGAUCUGUAGCGGGUCUGAGAGGAUGAUCCGCCACACUGGAACUGAGACACGGUCCAGACUCCUACGGGAGGCAGCAGUGGGGAAUUUUGGACAAUGGGCGCAAGCCUGAUCCAGCCAUGCCGCGUGAGUGAAGAAGGCCUUCGGGUUGUAAAGCUCUUUCGGCCGGGAAGAAAUCGCACAGGUUAAUACCCUGUGUGGAUGACGGUACCGGAAUAAGAAGCACCGGCUAACUACGUG
Molecule: ribosomal RNA, 492 nt
Filed under: uncultured bacterium
Lineage: Bacteria
Description: bacterial SSU rRNA
Rfam family: Bacterial small subunit ribosomal RNA
Source: RNAcentral